This is a ribosomal RNA of 434 nucleotides. It matches the Rfam family "Bacterial small subunit ribosomal RNA", at positions 341 to 792 of the family's 1533-position model.
ACGGGAGGCAGCAGUGGGGAAUAUUGGGCAAUGGGCGCAAGCCUGACCCAGCAAUGCCGCGUGAAGGAAGAAGGCUUUCGGGUUGUAAACUUCUUUUAAGUGGGACGACAAUGACGGUACCACUUGAAUAAGCUCCGGCUAACUACGUGCCAGCAGCCGCGGUAAUACGGAGGAUGCGAGCGUUAUCCGGAUUUAUUGGGUUUAAAGGGUGCGCAGGCGGCACGUUAAGUCAGCGGUGAAAUGUCGGGGCUCAACCCGGGCACUGCCGUUGAAACUGGCGAGCUUGAGUACGGAUGAAGUCGGCGGAAUGUGAUGUGUAGCGGUGAAAUGCUUAGAUAUAUCACAGAACACCGAUUGCGAAGGCAGCUGACUAAUCCGCAACUGACGCUCAGGCACGAAAGCGUGGGGAUCGAACAGGAUUAGAUACCCUGGUA